CAGUAGCCGCGGUAAUACGUAGGUGGCAAGCGUUAUCCGGAAUUAUUGGGCGUAAAGCGCGCGUAGGCGGUUUUUUAAGUCUGAUGUGAAAGCCCACGGCUCAACCGUGGAGGGUCAUUGGAAACUGGAAAACUUGAGUGCAGAAGAGGAGAGUGGAAUUCCACGUGUAGCGGUGAAAUGCGUAGAGAUGUGGAGGAACACCAGUGGCGAAGGCGACUCUUUGGUCUGUAACUGACGCUGAGGAGCGAAAGCGUGGGGAGCGAACAGGAUUAGAUACCCGGGUAGUCCCUGUCUCUUAUAC
This 301-nucleotide ribosomal RNA is filed under the name uncultured bacterium. RNAcentral's name for it is "partial 16S ribosomal RNA". It matches the Rfam family "Bacterial small subunit ribosomal RNA", at positions 509 to 807 of the family's 1533-position model. The record is from RNAcentral.